CUGAAAAAGGUGGUGUAAAGGUGGUGUAAAAGACUAAAAGGGUAGUGUUAAUGUAUUGUGGUUACUUUUACUAAUCUUGCACUAACUAUUUGGCAUUAUUUUAUUAGGUGAAAAUUCAGAAAAUAAAUAUAUAAAUAAAAUGGAAAAUAAAUAAACUGGAAAUAAAUAAAUAAAUAAAUAAGUAAAUAAACUGGAAAUAAAUAAACUGGAAAAUAAAUAAACUGAAAAUUCAAAAAUAAAUAAAUAAAUAAACUUGAAAUUCAGAAAAUAAAUAAAUAAAUAAACUGAAAAUUCAGAAAAUAAAUAUAUAAAAAAAUGGAAAAUAAAUAAACUGGAAAUAAAUAAAUAAACUGAAAAUUCAGAAAAUAAAUAAAUAAACUGGAAAUAAAUAAAUAAAUAAAUAAAUAAAAUGGAAAUAAAUAAACUAAAAAUUCGAAAAUAAAUAAAUAAAUAAACUGAAAAUUGAGAAAAUAAAUAAAUAAACUGGAAAUAAAUAAAUAAAUAAGUAAAUAAACUGGAAAAUAAAUAAACUGAAAAUUCAAAAAUAAAUAAAUAACUAAACUUGAAAUUCAGAAAAUAAAUAAAUAAAUAAACUGAAAAUUCAGAAAAUAAAUAAAUAAAUAAACUGGAAAAUAAAUAAACUGGAAAUAAAUAAAUAAAUAAAUAAGUAAAUAAACUGAAAAUUCAAAAAUAAAUAAAUAAAUAAACUUGAAAUUCAGAAAAUAAAUAAAUAAAUAAACC
This 741-nucleotide long non-coding RNA is filed under the name Salvia miltiorrhiza (redroot sage). RNAcentral describes it as "long non-coding RNA (SMIL_LNC003090)". Lineage: Eukaryota; Viridiplantae; Streptophyta; Magnoliopsida; Lamiales; Lamiaceae. The record is from RNAcentral.